AACGUAGGACGCAAGCGUUAUCCGGAGUUACUGGGCGUAAAGCGCGGGCAGGCGGUUCCUUAAGUCUGAUGUGAAAGCGCCCGGCUCAACCGGGCGAGGCCAUUGGAAACUAGGGGACUGGAGGGCAGUAGAGGUAGGCGGAAUUCCGGGUGGAGUGGUGAAAUGCGUAGAGAUCCGGAGGAACACCAGAGGCGAAGGCGGCCUACUGGGCUGCACCUGACGCUGAGCCGCGAAAGCCAGGGGAGCGAACGGGAUUAGAAACCCCCGUAGUCC
Molecule: ribosomal RNA, 273 nt
Filed under: uncultured bacterium
Lineage: Bacteria
Description: partial 16S ribosomal RNA
Rfam family: Bacterial small subunit ribosomal RNA
Source: RNAcentral